GACGAACGCUGGCGGCGUGCUUAACACAUGCAAGUCGAACGAUGAAGCCUAGCUUGCUAGGUGGAUUAGUGGCGAACGGGUGAGUAAUACGUGAGUGACCUACCUUUGACUCUGGGAUAAGCCUGGGAAACUGGGUCUAAUACCGGAUACGACCAAUCUCUGCAUGGGGUGUUGGUGGAAAGCGUUAUGGAGUGGUUUUAGAUGGGCUCACGGCCUAUCAGCUUGUUGGUGAGGUAAUGGCUUACCAAGGCGACGACGGGUAGCCGUCCUGAGAGGGUGACCGGCCACACUGGGACUGAGACACGGCCCAGACUCCUACGGGAGGCAGCAGUGGGGAAUAUUGCACAAUGGGCGCAAGCCUGAUGCAGCGACGCCGCGUGAGGGAUGACGGCCUUCGGGUUGUAAACCUCUGUUAGCAUCGAAGAAGCGAAAGUGACGGUAGG
Molecule: ribosomal RNA, 443 nt
Filed under: Rothia dentocariosa
Lineage: Bacteria; Bacillati; Actinomycetota; Actinomycetes; Micrococcales; Micrococcaceae
Description: bacterial SSU rRNA
Rfam family: Bacterial small subunit ribosomal RNA
Source: RNAcentral